GUCUCUGCUUGUCUUCCUAAAGAGAAAAUGCCAAGGCCAUGUGAUGGAAAGAAAGCUUCCGGUAGCUACCGGUUCACAAACUCCAGCUACACACACAGAGGACUUGAACUCUCACUGAGUUCCCCACAUGACUGGAACGACUCCUGAGUCACAGUGCUUCAUGGGACCAGCUGUUCCAGGGACUUGGUGUCAGGGAUUCACAGGGAGAAACACAGCCGUCACACUACACGUCCGUACAAGCAAUACCUACUAGAGAAAGCACAGUGCUGAGACCUGGUGACAUAGAGGGAAGAAAGAAGUUGCAAACCACACAGGAAUAAGCAUCAAGCCUAUUUAUUGACUGGUUUCUUCCCCUGCACUGCCCCCUUGUGGUAGAAAGCCAUUGGUUCUUUGGUAGAAAAGAAGACAGGUGAGAACCAGAAAUAAGAGGCAACAACACAGCAAAGAAGGGAAGUCAAUGCCCCAAGAGGAGCUGCCUAACUCCUUGGAGCUUGUGGGGAGCCCUGCCAUACAAGGACUUCCCGCUCCUUGCUUUGUGGCCCUGUGAGAGGUGGCUGCGGCUGCCCCACACUGACUCUUACACCCCGGGCAGUUCUGAGCAAUGUAACCUAAG
Molecule: long non-coding RNA, 613 nt
Filed under: Cricetulus griseus (Chinese hamster)
Lineage: Eukaryota; Metazoa; Chordata; Mammalia; Rodentia; Cricetidae
Description: lncRNA (ENSCGRG00015030695.1)
Source: RNAcentral